CGUUUCAACUUAGUGGGCCUCAUUAAGGUGGGCGCUCUAAGGGGGCGGCCGGAGCCAAACCGGAGGAAGGUGGGGAAGAGGUCAAAUCAUCAUACCCCUUUUGACCAGGGGUACUCACGGGAUUCAAAAAUCGGUCCAAAAAUUUGAAAGACCCCGAGGUGGAGCUAAUCUCAUAAAACCGUUAUCAGUUCGGAUUGUAGGGUGCAACUCGCCUACAUGAAGCUGGAAUCGCUAGUAAUCGCGGAUCAGCAUGCCGCGGUGAAUACGUUCCCGGGCCUUGUACACACCGCCCGUCCCCCCACGAGAGUUUGUAACACCCGAAGUCGGUGGGGUAACCUUUUUGGAGCCAGCCGCCUAAGGUGGGACAGAUGAUUGGGGUGAAGUCGUAACAAGGUUNCNCGU
Molecule: ribosomal RNA, 402 nt
Filed under: Bacillus subtilis
Lineage: Bacteria; Bacillati; Bacillota; Bacilli; Caryophanales; Bacillaceae
Description: bacterial SSU rRNA
Rfam family: Bacterial small subunit ribosomal RNA
Source: RNAcentral